UGCAAAUACAGCAAGAAUUGAAAUAGGUC
RNAcentral lists this small RNA (29 nucleotides) under Bombyx mori (domestic silkworm). RNAcentral describes it as "ovarian small RNA-33280". Lineage: Eukaryota; Metazoa; Arthropoda; Insecta; Lepidoptera; Bombycidae. The record is from RNAcentral.